UUUCUCCAGCUGUAAAGUAGCGAGCGAUGAGAACAGUAACGACCCCAGUGGUGAGAUGAGGGUCCGGAGGGGAACACUGAAGACACAGCUUGGUGUGGGGUCAUGCUGAAGAAAGAGAUAGCAUCACUGAGGCAAAGUGUUUCCUGGGGUUAAGUGUCUGUCCCAAAUGUGUCUGAGCAUUUGAAGGGUUAAUCUCAGGGGAGGGGAGGGGAGGGACGUCCAGUGUUUGGGGCAGGGCAGCCGUCCUUCCAAGGGUGGCCACCAGAGGGAGCAGCUGGACCUACGCUGGCCCCCGCAAAGCCUUGGUGACAGCACCCACCACACCCUCCAGGAGCCUGGGGAGGGGGCUGGCUGGGAGUGGCCAGGACGUCCCCCGGCCCCAGUAUGCUCCUCCCACCCCCUCCUCCUGUCUGCAGAGCCAUCAGUCCCCACCCCAGUGACAUCCUCCUUGGGCUCCCGGGAAAUAGGGCUGAGUGGGCAAUCUGGGGAGGGGGCUCGCUGGGAGUGGCCAGGGUGGCUCCAGCCCUGGGUGGCCCCGCCCCCUCCCAAAGAGCCAUUCAGUCCCCCAGGGCUGCUCUUCCUAUGGCCUCUGACCCCCUCCUCCUUCCUACCCCACUCUGCCUGGCACAUCCUGGGCCCAGCACGUCUCUUUCCCAAAUCUUCAGGGAGAAGGGGCGUGGGAGGAGGCAGAGACAGUACUGGGCUCUGGAAAGAGGGGGCAGGGAGCUGAGAAAUAGACACCAGGCAGAGGGACACACACACACACACACACACACACACACACACACACACACACACACCAACAGAGACCUAAAGAGACAGGGAAACAGAAACAAAGAUAGCCAGAAAGAGGGACCAAGAUUGAGAGGGGGAAGCAGACUAACGGAGAGGGAGAGGCAGCAAGACAGGGAGCGAGAAAGGCAGAAAAUCAAAGAGGAAGAGGGGCAACAACGGGCUGGGAGAGCUGGGAGCCGGGCAGCGCUCCCUGGGGCGGGGUGCAGGGCCGCUGGGCACGGGAGAUGUAGCACCCCAGCCAAACUGGGUCCGAGAGAAGUGGCGGAGGGGGCAAAGGUCCAGGGCAGGGGGCAUGGCAGGGACAGGGACUCUGCUGCUGCGGCUGCUGCUCCUGGCCGGGGCAGGGGUGGGGGUGGCCUGGAGACCCCCAAAGGGAAAGUGUCCUCUACGCUGCUCCUGCUCCAAGGACAGCGCCCUGUGUGAGGGCUCCCUGGACCUGCCCGAGAGCUUCUCCCCGACGCUGCUGUCGCUCUCACUUGUCAGGACUGGAGUCACCCAGCUGAAGGCCGGCAGCUUUCUGAGGAUGCCAUCCCUGCACCUGCUCCUCUUCACGUCCAACUCCUUCUCCGUGAUUGAAGAUGACGCGUUUGCUGGCCUGUCCCACCUGCAGUACCUCUUCAUCGAGGACAACAAGAUUGGCUCCAUCUCUAAGAACGCGCUCAGAGGACUUCGCUCGCUCACACACCUAAGCCUGGCCAAUAACCACCUCGAGGCCCUCCCCAGGUUCCUGUUCCGAGGCCUGGAGACCCUGACUCACGUGGACCUCCGUGGGAACCCGUUCCAGUGUGACUGCCGUGUCCUCUGGCUGCUGCAGUGGAUGCCCACCGUGAACGCCAGCGUGGGGACCGGGGACUGUGCGGGCCCAGCCGCCCUGACCCACAUGCAGCUCCGCCACCUGGACCCCAAGAUGUUCAAGUGCAGAGGAAUAGAGCUGUCCUGGUUCCAGACAGUCCGGGAGUCGGCCCUGGGUGUUGAGCCCUUCUCCUACCAGGGGGAGCCCCACAUCGUCCUGGCACAGCCCUUCGCAGGCCGCUGCCUGAUCCUCACCUGGGACUACAGCCUGCAGCGCUUCCGGCCAGAGGAGGAGCUGUCAGCGCCCUCGGUGGUGUCCUGCAAGCCGCUGGUGCUGGGCCCACGCCUCCUCGUGCUGGCCGCCCGCCUGUGGGGAGGCUCCCAGCUAUGGGCAAGGCCCAGCCCCGACCUGCGCCUGGCCCCGCUGCAGGCCCUGGCCCCACGGCGGCUUCUGAGGCCCAACGACGCUGAGAUCCUGUGGCUGGACGAGCAGCCCUGCUUUGUGGUGGCCGAUGCCUCCAAGGCGGGCAGCACCACACUGCUCUGUCGCGACGGGCCUGGCUUCUACCCCCGCCAGAGCCUGCAUGCCUGGCACCGGGACACGGAUGCCGAGGUCCUGGAGCUGGACGGCCGCCCCCACUUGCUGCUGGCCUCUGCCUCCCAGCGCCCAGUGCUCUUCCACUGGGUUGGUGGCCGCUUUGAGAGGCGCACGGACAUCCCUGAGGCCGAGGACGUCUAUGCCACACGCCACUUCCAGGCUGGUGGGGAUGUGUUCCUGUGCCUGACACGCUACAUCGGGGACUCCAUGGUCAUGCGCUGGGAUGGGUCCAUGUUCCGCCUGCUGCAGAAACUUCCCUCACGAGGCGCCCAUGUAUUCCAGCCGCUGCUCAUCGCCAGGGACCAGCUGGCCAUCCUGGGGAGUGACUUUGCCUUCAGCCAGGUCUUUCGCCUUGAGUCAGAUAAAGGGCUCUUGGAGCCACUGCAGGAGCUGGGGCCCCCGGCCUUGGUGGCCCCCCGCGCCUUUGCCCACAUCACCUUAGCCGGCAGACGCUUCCUAUUUGCAGCUUGUUUCAAGGGCCCCACACAGAUCUACCAGCAUCAUGAGCUGGACCUCAGUGCCUGAGACUGGACAGGACCUUAGACGUGGCUGGGGGUUGGCAUGGGGAGCCUGUGAGUCUGGAUCCCCUCUUACCUGGCCUCCUGGCCCUAGCCAGGCUGUGAGAUACUGACCGCAGGCCAAGUUCACCAGCCACAGGUCCAGGCUUUAGCCCACCUCUUCGAGGAUCUGAGCCGACUGGGGUAAGGGGAAGGUCACAGCUGCUGGACCUUCUGAGCUGACCUUCCAGCAUGGCACAGCCUCCCAGGUAACUUGGGAGCUCAGGCUGGGAGCCGGAAUACAGAAUCAAGGUGGGGAGAUGUGUAGAGUUUCGGUUAUAUCUAGAGGUUAUCAGCUAGAUGUCUUCCCACCUACCUGCUCCCUAGGAAAGUUAAAGUGAGAGCCUAUCUUUCCCCUUCAAACUCAGUCUGGCCAAUCGCAUUAAUGGGGAAGUGCCCGCCUCCAUGACGUCACAGUCGCAGGGUAGUUUUCCCUGCCGGAUGGUAAUUCCCUCUGCUGCUUGUGCGCAUGUCUGCUGCCAGAAGCUGUUCCCCGGCGUUUCCUCCCUCUUGCGCGUGCGCGUGCUUGGGUGGCAGACACAUGGCUAACCCAGGCCUCCGCAGAAACAGAGGACUUUUCUCAUCAAGACGACAGAUGGCUUCUGCUCCCAGGGCCGUUUCCCCCACACCAGCCGCGCUCAGAGUCCACCCUCCUGACUCUGCAGCACGCACUGCCCACCUGUCGCCAAGCUGGCUCACCAUUCCCCUGCAGAGAGACUCCCUGCCAUCAGCUUGAACACGCUUCAUAUAAAAUGCCACUUUACACCCCUGCCCGAAUGGACUCCUGGUCUUGCCCAACACAACGGGCAGAAAGAAAUGCAAUGAAAGCAAAGAGCAAGGGUCUCCUUCUGGCUAAAAGCACUGUGCUGCCUCCUGUCUGGGCCUGAAUGUUGUGAAAGGGAGAUUAAUCAUUUUUAAUUAUAUUUACAGGGCUGGGGAUAUAGCUCAGCGGCACAGCGCC
Chinchilla lanigera (long-tailed chinchilla) is the source of this 3703-nucleotide RNA transcript. It is a transcript of the gene named leucine-rich repeat LGI family, member 4, with no coding region annotated. The transcript has 10 exons. The record is from RefSeq and is a predicted model, not a curated record. Lineage: Eukaryota; Metazoa; Chordata; Mammalia; Rodentia; Chinchillidae.